This 440-nucleotide ribosomal RNA is filed under the name uncultured bacterium. RNAcentral's name for it is "partial 16S ribosomal RNA". It matches the Rfam family "Bacterial small subunit ribosomal RNA", at positions 338 to 795 of the family's 1533-position model. The record is from RNAcentral.
CCUACGGGAGGCAGCAGUGGGGAAUAUUGCACAAUGGGGGAAACCCUGAUGCAGCGACGCCGCGUGAGUGAAGAAGUAUUUCGGUACGUAAAGCUCUAUCAGCAGGGAAGAAAAUGACGGUACCUGACUAAGAAGCCCCGGCUAACUACGUGCCAGCAGCCGCGGUAAUACGUAGGGGGCAAGCGUUAUCCGGAUUUACUGGGUGUAAAGGGAGCGUAGACGGCAGCGCAAGUCUGGAGUGAAAUCCCAUGGCUUAACCAUGGAACUGCUUUGGAAACUGUGCAGCGAGAGUGCAGGAGAGGUAAGCGGAAUUCCUAGUGUAGCGGGGAAAUGCGUAGAUAUUAGGAGGAACACCAGUGGCGAAGGCGGCUUACUGGACUGUAACGGACGUUGAGGCUCGAAAGCGUGGGGAGCAAACAGGAUUAGAUACCCCGGUAGUC